UAUGUGAUCGUCUCUCGCAUAUCAAUAAGCGGAGGAAAAGAAACUAACAAGGAUUCCCCUAGUAACGGCGAGUGAAGCGGGAAGAGCUCAAAUUUGAAAUCUUAAAGGGUUUCCCUUUACGAAUUGUAGUUUAAAGAAGUGUUUUCUGUUGAGGUUUUGGUAAAAGUUCUUUGGAAUAGGACAUCAUAGAGGGUGAGAAUCCCGUAUUUGACCUUUACUUUCAACUUUGUGAUACACUUUCAAAGAGUCGGAUUGUUUGGGAAUGCAGUCCAAAAUGGGUGGUAAAUUUCAUCUAAAGCUAAAUAUUGGCGAGAGACCGAUAGCGAACAAGUACCGUGAGGGAAAGAUGAAAAGAACUUUGAAAAGAGAGUUAAACAGUACGUGAAAUUGUCAAAAGGGAAGCGUUUGACACCAGUGUUGUUUUUCUGAAAAUCAAUUAAAGAACUGUUUAUGCUAAGUUGUUUAGACUUUAUCAGCUAUCUGUUUAGUUUUGAGCUUUUCUUUAAUGCACUUUUCAGUUAACAAGUCAACAUCAAUUUCUUUUGCUGUAAAAAAGCUUGAGGAAGGUGGCUUGAGAUUCGUCUUAAGUGUUUAUAGCCUCUUGCCUAUGCAGUCGGAGAGAUUGAGGUCUGCAGCGUAGAUCCUUCGGGGCUAAAUGCAUUUGUGCUAAGUUAUAGCAUUUUAUAGACAACUUGUUGACUAUGAUUUGUCUUGUAGCUUACUCGCUUAUGUUAUUUUACCUACGCUUAGGAUGUUGAAUCUGUGCGAGACUAC
This 774-nucleotide ribosomal RNA is filed under the name uncultured Neocallimastigales. RNAcentral describes it as "partial large subunit ribosomal RNA". It matches the Rfam family "Eukaryotic large subunit ribosomal RNA", at positions 24 to 644 of the family's 3401-position model. The record is from RNAcentral. Lineage: Eukaryota; Fungi; Neocallimastigomycota; Neocallimastigomycetes; Neocallimastigales.